AUUUUUGGUGAUUGGAGAAAGAAAGGGCUGCGGGACUGUGGAAACAUUCUCCACGUGUCUGGCUAUGGGCCGUAUUUCCGUGCUGACUCCUUCAUAUGAUUCCCGUAACAGGCCUCGAGGCAGAUACCGAGUUUCCUACUCUGAUAGCAUGGAAUCUGAGGUUUAGGAUGGCUAAAGUGAUGCAGAGCCCCAUGGCUAGAAUUUCCUUCACUGGUGCUUAGAGUAUUAAUCAAAAAAUGAAAUCUUCACUUGUGUCCAGUAAAGUGUUCCAUCCUGAGAUCUUCUGCUCUGUUUGGACUUCUGCCACUGGAGCUGAACAGCAGAGAAGCCAGGCUGGGUUACCUCUGCUGGAAACCUGAGAAGAUGCCUGUCCCUGCCAAUGAAAUGUGGACACUAAACAGCACCUGUGUCCCUACCAGGAAGGACUUGAUCUUGAUAUUUUGGUCCCAGACAAAACCCUGAACUCCAAGGAAGAAGAAAGCACAAAAAUUUCAUGAGAUGGCUAAGACGGAAGCUUGUGGACAAUUAUUUGCCACCUGGUGUGGCAGGAGAAUGAGACUGGAAGUCCUUUCUCUCCAGAUUUUGGAAGGUGAUGUGCUAUUUAAGUGACCUUCCUAGGACAUUAUGGUCCAGGGCUUUGGAGACUUACCCUCAUCUCACAAGCCCCCCCCCCCCCCGCCCCAUUCUCAAGGGUGUUUUCCCAUUCUUAAUAAGCAGUCUCUAUUCUUAUUUGUAACCAUGUGUCCCAGGUCUAAUUCUUUGCCUUGGAACAGGAGAACCUGGGCACUGCAGCAGAUGCCCCAUAACACAGAUCUGUGCCUCUAACACUAUGGUGUGGAGUCUGGCGACCUUCCCUCCUGUCAAUUACUGUCUUCAUAGUGACUUUACUGAUUUCUGUUUCUUUUCGUCAAGAUCUGACACGGGGAGGGAUCGGGAACUUUGCACAGGAGGAGUAUUGAAAGCACUGAAUGGGUUAUUCUGUUCUAGCCCAAGAGAGCAGUGUAGAUUCGCUCUCUGAAGUGUCAGGUCCACUGACCACAAGAUCCUUUACUGGAUCUUUCUUCUCAUUUCUAUGCCUAGCAUUAGGAAGCCGUUACCCACAACACAAGCAACCUUGCCAAGAGUCACAUAGCCGGUGCAGAUCAAGUUCCACCCAGGUCUGCGCGACCCACUUACUCAGCGGUCCUAAGUAUAUGCUGCCAAACUAUGUAGCAGUGAACCAACCCAGCAUAGAAAGAUUGUGACAUUCACCCUUCCCAAGCGAUGCCUUCACUUGGUGAAACCUUGGAGUUGGUGCCCAAACUUAUUACAGCAUAUUUUAUCUUGUU
This 1328-nucleotide long non-coding RNA is filed under the name Mus musculus (house mouse). RNAcentral's name for it is "RIKEN cDNA 9530020I12 gene (9530020I12Rik)". Lineage: Eukaryota; Metazoa; Chordata; Mammalia; Rodentia; Muridae. The record is from RNAcentral.